This 409-nucleotide ribosomal RNA is filed under the name bacterium. RNAcentral describes it as "partial 16S ribosomal RNA". It matches the Rfam family "Bacterial small subunit ribosomal RNA", at positions 355 to 776 of the family's 1533-position model. The record is from RNAcentral.
UGGGGAAUAUUGCACAAUGGGCGAAAGCCUGAUGCAGCGACGCCGCGUGAGGGAUGACGGCCUUCGGGUUGUAAACCUCUUUCAGUAGGGACGAAGCGCAAGUGACGGUACCUGCAGAAGAAGCACCGGCUAACUACGUGCCAGCAGCCGCGGUAAUACGUAGGGUGCGAGCGUUGUCCGGAAUUACUGGGCUGAAAGAGCUCGUAGGCGGUUUGUCACGUCGUCUGUGAAAUCCUAGGGCUUAACCCUGGACGUGCAGGCGAUACGGGCUGACUUGAGUACUACAGAGGAGACUGGAAUUUCUGGUGUAGCGGUGGAAUGCACAGAGAUCAGGAAGAACACCGAUGGCGAAGGCAGGUCUCUGGGUAGUAACUGACGCUGAGGAGCGAAAGCAUGGGUAGCGAACAGG